CAUGCUGCGAGCAAGAGGAAACUAAUGGAGGCGCUGUGACAGAGAAAGGCAGAGUAGGAGACGGCAACCUUAACUGAUGUGAACAUGUGAUCUAUGUGAGGGGGACCUCAUCUGUCUUCUCAAGCACUGUGGCCCCAGCCCCAGAAGAAGACCUGGACAUAGGAGGCAUUUCAUGAAUGUUUGUCAAAAGAAGAACGUGGUCAGUUGUCGGGUAAGACAUUUCUAGUUCUCUUCAAACAGAUCCUGAUGCUUUAAAAAAAAAAAUUCAUCCCAGGGUUUUUUUUUUUUUUAAAACAGUUUUA
Camelus dromedarius (Arabian camel) is the source of this 302-nucleotide long non-coding RNA. RefSeq lists it as uncharacterized. Lineage: Eukaryota; Metazoa; Chordata; Mammalia; Artiodactyla; Camelidae. The transcript is spliced from 3 exons. The record is from RefSeq and is a predicted model, not a curated record.